GGAGAAGGAGAGAGGAAGGGGGCCUGCUCAGAGUUUUGGAAGGAAAACCAAACUGGAGACAAAGGAUGCAAGAGAGAAGAAGAUGCUGACAGAGCAGGUCCCAGGGCCUCAGGGGGUCAAAGGUCAGGAGGGAACAAUCAACUCUGAUCUAAAAGGUCAGCAAGAAAACAUGGGCAGAAGAUUCUGAUUGGACAAACUGCCACCACUGCUUGGAUGUGGUGGUGUGCAUGUGGCAAAGUGCAUGAGAAUGGGAGAGCCGCCUGCACAUCUCCAACCAUCUGUAGGCCUGCGAUCGACACUUCCACACCAACACAAAGGGAUGGGUUCAAUCAGCAGCAGAUCUUUUGGCAACAAUAUUUUACAUGCAAAAAUGCAUGUUUCCAUCUUAAAGGGUUUGUCCAUUUACUAUGAUUAACUGCUUUAUGCAAGGUUUAAUUAACUCUGGGAUUAUAUGAGAAGACACUUAUGAUAAUGAUGUCUUAUUGGUUCAUAGUUAUGCCCACUCUGGGAAUACUGAUGAACAGUAGUCUGGGGCUAACUAAGCCUGGCCUGUGGUUCAAAUGCACCACAUAAUAUUCCAUGAAUGUUUUUUUCCAUUGUUCCUAAUAGAUAGAUACAAAUAAAUAUAAACAAAUACUUCA
Anguilla anguilla (European eel) is the source of this 641-nucleotide long non-coding RNA. RefSeq lists it as uncharacterized. The record is from RefSeq and is a predicted model, not a curated record. Lineage: Eukaryota; Metazoa; Chordata; Actinopteri; Anguilliformes; Anguillidae. The transcript has 2 exons.